UCUCCUCAGCCAUGGUCAGUGCGAAUACCAUGCUGGGCAGCCGAAAAUGGAAGUAAACUUGUGCGGAUACCGCGUGGCCAAGAUAGCCUUGAUCUACCAUUACCUGCUGGUGUGACACAUGUAACUGCUGAAGCUGCGACCGAGAUUUUAGAGCUGAAUGCUGGGUUGAAUGCCGUACUUUUUUCAACUUCAUUGGAAGCAAGCAUAGAGAUCAGUCGCCUACGGCAAGAGAUUGACAAAUUGAAGAACACCUCGGGAACAACCAUUGGAAGUUCAGGUAUUGGUGAAGACGUCAUAGAUGAUGAUGCGGAACAUGAGAUUCGCACAAAAUUUAAAGCUGACCACCUAGGUACAAAAGGGAAGACAAAAAUUGUGAUACCAGAAGAGCAUGAAGAAGAUGAGGAAGAGGAAGAAGAAGAGGAAGAAGAGGAAGAUGAAGAGGAAGAUGAAGACGAUGGUUGGAUCGACGAGACAGACGUUGGGGAUGAGGAUGAGCAAGCCGAUGAGGACGAGGUUGGGGAUGAGGAUGAGGAAGCCGAUGACGGCGGGGCGGCAGCAAAGGGUAAUCUGACUGCAGAACAAGACUCCCCACUCCAAAAAGGCAAAGUUCAGAAAUGUCUU
Prunus dulcis (almond) is the source of this 621-nucleotide long non-coding RNA. RefSeq lists it as uncharacterized. The record is from RefSeq and is a predicted model, not a curated record. Lineage: Eukaryota; Viridiplantae; Streptophyta; Magnoliopsida; Rosales; Rosaceae. The transcript has 4 exons.